Long non-coding RNA from Cyprinus carpio carpio, 3436 nucleotides. NCBI's taxonomy places the organism in Eukaryota, Metazoa, Chordata, Actinopteri, Cypriniformes, Cyprinidae. The record is from Ensembl.
CUCAAAUAUGCAUUUAUUUGUGUCAAGUUAUUAACACAGAACCCAUAAACAUGUUAAUCACAAAUUACACAUAUUACUCGCAUGAUAUAUAAUAAAACACAUUCUAGGAUUCUGACUGAUCAAAUGAAAAAUAUAAAGUCAUACAUUCAGUUGAGUAAAUGAUUUUUGGGUGAACUAUCCCUUUAAUGCACACUGACAAGAAGUAAAAGGAGAGGUCAUGUGCGUCAGCAUUGAUUUAAACAAAUGAGGAACAUUUAGAGGCUGGAAAUCUGGGCCAAAGGCCAUUCCUGCAGUGAGUGUCAAUGACAUGUGCUGUAAAGAUAUGUAAAUAUGGAGCCCUGUAGUGUAUAAAUGAGAAUGACAGCCCUACAUUCCAUGUGACUCUUCCUGGUUUUCUUUCUGGCUAUAAUACUGAACAGUUACCAUGAAUCACCUUCAGUCUCUUGAGGCCAUUGUACGGUACUGAGUUACACAUUGUGCCACUUGUCAGUCACACAGGUUACAUGACACCCGCUGUGCAACAGGCAGACUGCGGUACAUUGACCGAGUAAAAGCAAAAAGCCACCGGCAUGCCACUUGCCUAAGGGCAAAGGUCAGGCAGGAUAGCGGGAUGCUGGAACAGUGUUGCGACACGGAUGUUUCGUCAGGUGAAUGAUCUCCGGCUUGCCUGGAACUCAAGGUAAUCUGGUUAAGCAGCUUUAACCACGGGACGGGGGGAAUUUAGACGAGUUGUAAAACCCCUUUGCACCAAGUCUGGAUCUGUUCUCUCUCGCUUGUGUCCAAGCAGUCCAUGUGGAGAUAAAUGUUUCAUCAGUCCACCCAAAUGGAUUUCAUUUCAUGAACAGAUUUAGUGUGAAUGAGUGUGGAACAUGGCGUGUGAAACAUGGAGUACCAAUGAAUCUCAAAUUCCUAUGUUCAUUCCAGUUUAAAUUAAAGUCUGAACAACUUGUUCCAGAUGCAACUACUUACCCUUAGUGAAAAAAAAACAAACCAUAAGAAAAAAAAUAUAGAAUAACUUCAAGGGCCUCAUUUAUAAAACACAUACAGCUGGACUUGAUCCAAAAUUUUCAUGAAUUUUAUCACAUUUAUUUGACAAAACUGAUCUUCUGAAAAUAAUAAUAAUAAUCCUACUAGUGUAUGCCUGCACAUGCACAGAAACCAGACUGUCUUUUUCUUUUUUUUUUUCUUGUGCAUAGAGACGUUCAUAAGAACACUUUGGAAACUAUUGUAUGUUCAAAUUUAAGAACAUUGUAAAUCUUUAUAAAGGAGACAUCGGACUCCUCCUGAAUGGAAAACUGUCCAUUGUACAAAAUGUGUUCAGUUUGAACAUUAUCUAAAGAGUUGAAAGUACAUGGAAGAUCCCUGGCAGGUGAUCUGAGCACCCUUCACCCUGGUGCAAAGUAACUGUGAGGUAUCUGACCUUUGCCAUUUGGGAUUAUUUUGAACUUGUGAAGACCUUUCAAGCUCAAGCUUAAUUAAACAAAAAGGGCUCUGUGACCUGUCUCAUAUUCAAGGUAUGUUCCAGUUCAACACAAGAUGUCUGUAAAUUUUUUUUAAUUUGUAUCUUGAGGAAACAACCAAACAAAAACAAACAGCAUUGACAUAUCUAGUCAGAAGUUAGUUUAUGGGGGAUCGUAGCGUGCAACAGAUGUUGCCAUUUGGCUUGUCCCUUUAAAGAAUGCUUUGACAGGCACGAUUCAAUGAAAAAUAUUUCCCUGAAUAAUAAUAUUUAGAUUUAAGUGUUUUGUUUCACAGUUAGAAGUGAAAUCAAUUAGUACCACUGUAUUAAAUGGUGGGAAAGAGCCUUGAAAGGCCUAGCUGUAAAACGGCUCCAACAUAAGAAGAUUAACCAUUACCUACUACAUUAAAUUGAAUCUCAACCUUGUAAAGCUUUCAAAAAUACAACUCAUGAAAAACUAGGAAGUAGAAAUCAUGUUCACAUUCAUAAAGAAUUUAGAACCACAACAAAAUAUGUCACACGUUUAAGUAAAAAUAAACAAGGCAAGUCUUCCCCAAAGCCAUUUUACUUCUUUAUUUGAGAAUCACAUCAUUCAGUCACACUUUGUCCAUACUGAAAGUAUGUUCAUUAGGACCUUCAUAGUAAUCUAAUCUAAAUGUAGCUGUUAACCCUUACCGUCUGACUUUAAAGAGGGUUAAAGCAGGAGGUUCUGACAGUAGCACACUGUACUAUCCACGGCCUAAGUACACCUGCAACACAGACAGGCCGAGCUUCUUAUGUGUGCCGUUUCUUUAAGAGCAGCUGAGACGACGACCCUCAACAAUCUUUUAAUGCACUUGUGGACAGAUUGACAUUAGACUAGAGCGGAUCACGAAGGCGAUCGUCGCCCAUGACCUGAAGAAGCCCUUGAGAGAAGGUACAGUUACAUGUGCAAAACUGUGUGACGUAUGAGAACUUGGUGAGAGAGUGGCAUGAUCUUGAAGACGUUUGGAGGGAGAGGAACCGAGAGCACAUUUCCAGCACGCGGCAUCUGGGUCUGCUAAAUACCUAGAAUAUUCUCAGUUUUCAUCUGGCUGGGAGGAUUUAGAGGGAUGCAUUUUCAUAUCCUGUUUUCUGUGCUGAAGAAGUCGGCCUUGAGGAAUUUACGGCUUGUGUAAGGUCAGUUGACGUGAUGAGGAUGUGUAUAUAGGCAGAUCUGUGUGUGUGACAAAGGUUAGAUGCGUACAUACACAAGCACAUAAACAAACAAACACACACAAAAAAAAAUAAAAAAAAAUCAUAUUUACGCCAUAGAAUGGCCUUGAAAGGGAAAGAGGAAGUUACAUACGCUCUGCAGUCUUUCAUCAUUUGUUCCCUGGAGGAUCUCUGCAACUUUCAACACACAAACACGUCAAUGCCUGGGCAUGUCUCCAGAAUGCAUGGAAACAUCUAUAAGAACACUACUUUCAGUAGUACUUGAUGUUUCCGCCCACUAAACAUCAGAUCCACCAUUUGCUACAUCAGAAGAGCAAGAUGGCCACCUCUGUCAGCUUGGUUGAGAGCACAGAAUGCCACUCCUGUCCUGCUCCACACCCAAAUAAGGGCAAGGGACCCUCACCGGGCCAGGAAUGUGGCUGAGUCAGCAUGGACCCCGUAUGGUAGCCUUUGUUUAUGCCUGAGAAUAACGAACAGCCAAGCUCAGGCAGGUCACGUGAGCUGGCUGCUGGAGGGAGAGAAAAAAAUGGGAUCCGUCUGAUCCAGGAUUGGCUGAGACGGCCUCAUCGACUGUCUGGAAUGAUGCUGUUACUUCUGCAUCACCAUCUCUGUGCUGACGUGCCAGGAAAGAGCCAACCACAACAGUUCUUCAGCUGGCAGCUUUAGCUGGUACACAAGGACAUAAAGCUUGCCAGUGAAGAACUGCUGCAGGUCAGCCAGUGGGCUUCCCAGAGUCUGUCCCUGAUAUUCCGAAGAAAACGUGGGAAUAGGGCGUGGCAGGAU